AGUUUGAUCCUGGCUCAGGACGAACGCUGGCGGCGUGCUUAACACAUGCAAGUCGAGCGGAAAGNCCCUUCGGGGUACUCGAGCGGCGAACGGGUGAGUAACACGUGAGUAAUCUGCCCCAGGCUCUGGGAUAGCCACCGGAAACGGUGAUUAAUACCGGAUACGACAACCGAUUGCAUGAUCUGGUUGUGGAAAGUUUUUCGGCCUGGGAUGUGCUCGCGGCCUAUCAGCUUGUUGGUGAGGUAAUGGCUCACCAAGGCUUCGACGGGUAGCCGGCCUGAGAGGGUGACCGGCCACACUGGGACUGAGACACGGCCCAGACUCCUACGGGAGGCAGCAGUGGGGAAUAUUGGACAAUGGGCGGAAGCCUGAUCCAGCAACGCCGCGUGAGGGAUGACGGCUUCGGGUUGUAAACCUCUUUCAGCACAGACGAAGCGAAAGUGACGGUAUGUGCAGAAGAAGGACCGGCNAACUACGUGCCAGCAGCCGCGGUAAUACGUAGGGUCCGAGCGUUGUCNGGAAUUAUUGGGCGUAAAGGGCUCGUAGGCGGUCUGUCGCGUCGGGAGUGAAAACCAGGUGCUUAACACCUGGCCUGCUUUCGAUACGGGCAGACUAGAGGUACUCAGGGGAGAAUGGAAUUCCUGGUGUAGCGGUGAAAUGCGCAGAUAUCAGGAGGAACACCGGUGGCGAAGGCGGUUCUCUGGGAGUAUCCUGACGCUGAGGAGCGAAAGUGUGGGGAGCGAACAGGAUUAGAUACCCUGGUAGUCCACACNGUAAACGUUGGGCGCUAGGUGUGGGACACAUUCCACGUGUUCCGUGCCGCAGCUAACGCAUUA
Molecule: ribosomal RNA, 836 nt
Filed under: Nocardioides sp.
Lineage: Bacteria; Bacillati; Actinomycetota; Actinomycetes; Propionibacteriales; Nocardioidaceae
Description: bacterial SSU rRNA
Rfam family: Bacterial small subunit ribosomal RNA
Source: RNAcentral